UAAAGAAGAGGUGAAGGAAAAGAACAGCCUCCACAGAAAGGCAGCAGCUGAAGAUUCAUCUAGAAAGACUUAUACUGCAACUCUCACUGCUUGAAGCAAGGCUGCUUGUGGACUGAACAUUAAAUUACCAAAGGAGAAGAUUGAAGAUAUUGAUGCUGGAGAUGUGUACAAUGAGUUGGCAGUUGUGGAGUAUGCAGAAGACAUUUACAAGUUUUACAAGGAAGCUGAGAGUACAAGGUGCAUUCCUAUAACUUUAAUGGCUUAAGUGCAUUGGGUUUUAUGGAUGAUCUCCUACCUGGUUCGAAAUCCUUUUUCACUGCUAA
This is a long non-coding RNA of Ipomoea triloba (trilobed morning glory), 323 nucleotides long. RefSeq lists it as uncharacterized. The record is from RefSeq and is a predicted model, not a curated record. The transcript is spliced from 3 exons. NCBI's taxonomy places the organism in Eukaryota, Viridiplantae, Streptophyta, Magnoliopsida, Solanales, Convolvulaceae.